AUUAAGACAGCAGGACGGUGGU
Molecule: small nuclear RNA, 22 nt
Filed under: Arabidopsis thaliana (thale cress)
Lineage: Eukaryota; Viridiplantae; Streptophyta; Magnoliopsida; Brassicales; Brassicaceae
Description: snRNA_08280
Source: RNAcentral